ACUGAAUCCAUAGGUUAAUGAGGCGAACCGGGGGAACUGAAACAUCUAAGUACCCCGAGGAAAAGAAAUCAACCGAGAUUCCCCCAGUAGCGGCGAGCGAACGGGGAGGAGCCCAGAGCCUGAAUCAGUGUGUGUGUUAGUGGAAGCGUCUGGAAAGGCGCGCGAUACAGGGUGACAGCCCCGUACACAAAAAUGCACAUAUUGUGAGCUCGAUGAGUAGGGCGGGACACGUGGUAUCCUGUCUGAAUAUGGGGGGACCAUCCUCCAAGGCUAAAUACUCCUGACUGACCGAUAGUGAACCAGUACCGUGAGGGAAAGGCGAAAAGAACCCCGGCGAGGGGAGUGAAAAAGAACCUGAAACCGUGUACGUACAAGCAGUGGGAGCCUCUUUAUGGGGUGACUGCGUACCUUUUGUAUAAUGGGUCAGCGACUUAUAUUCUGUAGCAAGGUUAACCGAAUAGGGGAGCCGAAGGGAAACCGAGUCUUAACUGGGCGUUAAGUUGCAGGGUAUAGACCCGAAACCCGGUGAUCUAGCCAUGGGCAGGUUGAAGGUUGGGUAACACUAACUGGAGGACCGAACCGACUAAUGUUGAAAAAUUAGCGGAUGACUUGUGGCUGGGGGUGAAAGGCCAAUCAAACCGGGAGAUAGCUGGUUCUCCCCGAAAGCUAUUUAGGUAGCGCCUCGUGAAUUCAUCUCCGGGGGUAGAGCACUGUUUCGGCAAGGGGGUCAUCCCGACUUACCAACCCGAUGCAAACUGCGAAUACCGGAGAAUGUUAUCACGGGAGACACACGGCGGGUGCUAACGUCCGUCGUGAAGAGGGAAACAACCCAGACCGCCAGCUAAGGUCCCAAAGUCAUGGUUAAGUGGGAAACGAUGUGGGAAGGCCCAGACAGCCAGGAUGUUGGCUUAGAAGCAGCCAUCAUUUAAAGAAAGCGUAAUAGCUCACUGGUCGAGUCGGCCUGCGCGGAAGAUGUAACGGGGCUAAACCAUGCACCGAAGCUGCGGCAGCGACACUAUGUGUUGUUGGGUAGGGGAGCGUUCUGUAAGCCUGUGAAGGUGGCCUGUGAGGGUUGCUGGAGGUAUCAGAAGUGCGAAUGCUGACAUAAGUAACGAUAAAGCGGGUGAAAAGCCCGCUCGCCGGAAGACCAAGGGUUCCUGUCCAACGUUAAUCGGGGCAGGGUGAGUCGACCCCUAAGGCGAGGCCGAAAGGCGUAGUCGAUGGGAAACAGGUUAAUAUUCCUGUACUUGGUGUUACUGCGAAGGGGGGACGGAGAAGGCUAUGUUGGCCGGGCGACGGUUGUCCCGGUUUAAGCGUGUAGGCUGGUUUUCCAGGCAAAUCCGGAAAACCAAGGCUGAGGCGUGAUGACGAGGCACUACGGUGCUGAAGCGACAAAUGCCCUGCUUCCAGGAAAAGCCUCUAAGCAUCAGGUAACAUCAAAUCGUACCCCAAACCGACACAGGUGGUCAGGUAGAGAAUACCAAGGCGCUUGAGAGAACUCGGGUGAAGGAACUAGGCAAAAUGGUGCCGUAACUUCGGGAGAAGGCACGCUGAUAUGUAGGUGAAGCGACUUGCUCGUGGAGCUGAAAUCAGUCGAAGAUACCAGCUGGCUGCAACUGUUUAUUAAAAACACAGCACUGUGCAAACACGAAAGUGGACGUAUACGGUGUGACGCCUGCCCGGUGCCGGAAGGUUAAUUGAUGGGGUUAGCGGUAACGCGAAGCUCUUGAUCGAAGCCCCGGUAAACGGCGGCCGUAACUAUAACGGUCCUAAGGUAGCGAAAUUCCUUGUCGGGUAAGUUCCGACCUGCACGAAUGGCGUAAUGAUGGCCAGGCUGUCUCCACCCGAGACUCAGUGAAAUUGAACUCGCUGUGAAGAUGCAGUGUACCCGCGGCAAGACGGAAAGACCCCGUGAACCUUUACUAUAGCUUGACACUGAACAUUGAGCCUUGAUGUGUAGGAUAGGUGGGAGGCUUUGAAGUGUGGACGCCAGUCUGCAUGGAGCCGACCUUGAAAUACCACCCUUUAAUGUUUGAUGUUCUAACGUUGGCCCGUAAUCCGGGUUGCGGACAGUGUCUGGUGGGUAGUUUGACUGGGGCGGUCUCCUCCUAAAGAGUAACGGAGGAGCACGAAGGUUGGCUAAUCCUGGUCGGACAUCAGGAGGUUAGUGCAAUGGCAUAAGCCAGCUUGACUGCGAGCGUGACGGCGCGAGCAGGUGCGAAAGCAGGUCAUAGUGAUCCGGUGGUUCUGAAUGGAAGGGCCAUCGCUCAACGGAUAAAAGGUACUCCGGGGAUAACAGGCUGAUACCGCCCAAGAGUUCAUAUCGACGGCGGUGUUUGGCACCUCGAUGUCGGCUCAUCACAUCCUGGGGCUGAAGUAGGUCCCAAGGGUAUGGCUGUUCGCCAUUUAAAGUGGUACGCGAGCUGGGUUUAGAACGUCGUGAGACAGUUCGGUCCCUAUCUGCCGUGGGCGCUGGAGAACUGAGGGGGGCUGCUCCUAGUACGAGAGGACCGGAGUGGACGCAUCACUGGUGUUCGGGUUGUCAUGCCAAUGGCACUGCCCGGUAGCUAAAUGCGGAAGAGAUAAGUGCUGAAAGCAUCUAAGCACGAAACUUGCCCCGAGAUGAGUUCUCCCUGAGACUUAGAGUCUCCUGAAGGAACGUUGAAGACGACGACGUUGAU
This 2681-nucleotide ribosomal RNA is filed under the name Escherichia coli. RNAcentral describes it as "partial 23S ribosomal RNA". It matches the Rfam family "Bacterial large subunit ribosomal RNA". Lineage: Bacteria; Pseudomonadati; Pseudomonadota; Gammaproteobacteria; Enterobacterales; Enterobacteriaceae. The record is from RNAcentral.